GGACUAAUAUGUCGGUCGUGCCUCGGUACGUACUGGUUUAUUGGUUUCUCCUUUCUGAAGAACCAUGAUGUCAUUUAUUUGGUGUCGUGGGGAAUCAGGACUGUUACUUUGAAAAAAUUAGGAGUGUUUAAAGCAGGCUCACGCUUGAAUACAUUAGCAUGGAAUAAUGAAAUAGGACGUUUGAUUCUAUUUUGUUGGUUUCUAGAGUCGCCGUAAUGAUUA
This 222-nucleotide ribosomal RNA is filed under the name uncultured Glomeromycotina. RNAcentral describes it as "partial 18S ribosomal RNA". The stretch from base 45 to 222 matches the Rfam family "Eukaryotic small subunit ribosomal RNA", at positions 693 to 871 of the family's 1831-position model. The record is from RNAcentral. Lineage: Eukaryota; Fungi; Glomeromycota.